RNAcentral lists this ribosomal RNA (190 nucleotides) under uncultured bacterium. RNAcentral describes it as "partial 16S ribosomal RNA". It matches the Rfam family "Bacterial small subunit ribosomal RNA", at positions 1311 to 1500 of the family's 1533-position model. The record is from RNAcentral.
CUCGACUACAUGAAGCUGGAAUCGCUAGUAAUCGCGGAUCAGAAUGCCGCGGUGAAUACGUUCCCGGGUCUUGUACACACCGCCCGUCACACCAUGGGAGUCGGGAAUGCCCGAAGCCAGUGACCCAAGCGAGAGCAGGGAGCUGUCGAAGGCAGGCCGGAUAACUGGGGUGAAGUCGUAACAAGGUAUC